GAUGAAGAACGUAGCGAAAUGCGAUACGUAAUGUGAAUUGCAGAAUUCAGUGAAUCAUCGAGUCUUUGAACGCACAUUGCGCCCCCUGGUAUUCCGGGGGGCAUGCCUGUCCGAGCGUCAUUGCUGCCCUCAAGCACGGCUUGUGUGUUGGGCCUCCGUCCUCCUCCCGGGGGACGGGCCCGAAAGGCAGCGGCGGCACCGCGUCCGGUCCUCGAGCGUAUGGGGCUUCGUCACCCGCUCUUGUAGGCCCGGCCGGCGCUUGCCGACACAUCAAUCUUUUUUCCAGGUUGACCUCGGAUCAGGUAGGGAUACCCGCUGAACUUAAGCAUAUCAAUAAGCAGGA
RNAcentral lists this unclassified non-coding RNA (343 nucleotides) under soil metagenome. RNAcentral describes it as "partial contains 5.8S ribosomal RNA, internal transcribed spacer 2, and large subunit ribosomal RNA". The stretch from base 1 to 120 matches the Rfam family "5.8S ribosomal RNA", at positions 35 to 154 of the family's 154-position model. The record is from RNAcentral.